UUGGGACCUGAUAUCAAACAAAGACUACCCGCU
This 33-nucleotide ribosomal RNA is filed under the name Saprolegnia longicaulis. Its description in RNAcentral is "partial 28S ribosomal RNA". Lineage: Eukaryota; Oomycota; Saprolegniomycetes; Saprolegniales; Saprolegniaceae. The record is from RNAcentral.